UAAAUUAUAUAUGAAGAUGAAUUCAAAAAGGUAACCAGACAAUUCCUCUUUUUUAUAUUCUCAAUGCAUACGAUAUGGUCAUCUAUUUCUUCCUCUGUUGGAGGGGCAUCAGAUAUGUCUGCAAUCUUAUGAAUAUCAAAAAUCAAAAUCUGAGAACCUAAGCAGCUACUAUUUUUAACCUAAACGAAAUAUCAGAAUGGCAACACAACAGUAAGAGACGCUAUUGGUGUUCAAUUGUGGGCUGCCCACCAAUGCCAUGUGCCCUACAAGUCCAACACUCGGUUGCUGCAAUGGAUAAAUUUAAAAAUGAGCAAAAAGUUGAGUAUUGAAAAAUGUCCUACAUGCAUGGUUUUAAAUUGCAGUUGUGGAAUUGUAGUUUUAUGUUGCUGAGACUUCAACAUCCGCAAUUAUAGUUGUUGGAGUGCCAAUUUAAAACUAUUUGUAUGCACAAGUCUGUAAAAGUUUUAGUUGUCAUUACAUAUACACAUACCUAAACCCCACUCAUUGUCAUACCACAGACCAGCUAUCACAAAGACUUAUAAGCCCAAUCCCACCUUAGCAUCAAAGAUACUCGACCUGUUAAUAAAGAAAUACAUUUAAAUUAAAACGCUUACUUGGCCAACAACAUAUCCUAACACAACAGAAAAAACUGCGACUAAUAUCAUAAAAGAGCGAGAUAAAUAAAGUUUAGUUUUAAGAACAAUAAAAAUCUGCUUUGAGCAUUAUUAAAUGAAAAUUCAAAAUGUGCAUAAUUACCAGAUUUUAGCCAUGUAUACUAAGAUAAAAGCACAAGAGUCUGUCCUCUUAAAGAUGCUGGUUCUCGUGUAUGACAAUAAGUGGGUUAUAGUGUAUGUGUAUAUUGUAAUUCAACUAAACUUUACAGAACUUGUGAUAACAAAUCUUAGUUUUAAUUGCACUCCACAACUAUAAUUGCGGAUGUGAAGUCUCAGAACAUAAACUACAAUUUCCACAACUGCAAUUUAAAACAUGCAUUGUAGGACUUUUCAAUACUCACUUUUUGCUCAACUUUUUAUUUUAUCCAUUGCCAGCACGAUGUUGGACCUUGUAGGGACAUGGCAUUGGGUGGCGAGCCCACAAUUGAACACAAUAGCGUCUCUUACUGUUGGUGUUGCCAUUUGAUAUUCGUUUAUCGCUUACAAAUUAGUAGCCCCUGCUUGUUCUCGUUGUGAUUUUUGAUUCAUAAGAUUGAGACAUAUCUGAUGCCCCUCCAACAGGGAAGAAAUAGUAUGACAUAUCGUAUUGCAUUGAGAUUAUAAUAAAGAGGAAUUGUCCUGGUUACCUUUUUGACGUCAUCUUCAUAUAUAAUUAUAUCUUUUAGAAUGCGCGUGUGAGAUGUGUCAUUGACGUAGACAGUUUAGUUAUAUGCAUACAGCACUCUGAAGAACAAUCCAGUAAAAAAAAACAAUUCGUUCAUUAAUGAUUUAUAGAAUUACAGAACGAUUGUUUUAUGUAAUUCUCUAUGUCUGUCACGUUUCUAGUUUCAGCUUUUUACAACCAUGGUUUGGAAGUUUCUAAUUUUUAGCUUCAUCUGGGUUUCUAACGAUAAUCUUUUAUUCUAAUAUACAUGUUUCAUUCUAAAUUAAUCUUUUGUAAAAUCCCUUACUAAAAAAAAAAAACAAUGUGAUUUUUUUACUCAACUUGUUGCAGAUUUUUUUUCUACUCUGGUGGGUUUUAGGCGCUUGGAAGACUGAUUCUCCCCAAGCAACGUUUCGGGAAAAGUAUCAGCGAUGAAAGGACAUUUUCUGCACUUGAGGACUGAAGUGCUGUUGCAGAAAAACUGGUAUAUGUUCUUGUCAUAUUGUUUCAUUUUUCAGGAAUUUUGAUUUCAAAAUUUUAAAUGUUGUCAUCAUAAUUGUUAGUUGAUAGUUUGAAUUGUGGAGAUCCUCUUAAGUUAAACUCCAUUGUCAUGAGGGAAUUUCCUUCAGUUUAGGUUACAGUUUUUUCACUAUGCUAAUGACACUAUGAGAUUGCUGGAGUUUGAUUAGAAAGUGUUUAGUUAUAUUGAAUCAUAAACAAAGAUGGUCAUGCAAGCUUACUGUUUGCAGUGGAGCUGCCUGAAUGCUGUCCACAGACAUGCAGAAAGAGGGCCUUCCAUGGGGAACGUGAUCUUUAAACUGAAACUACUCUUUGAGCCGUACUUUGAUUCUUGACUCUUUCUUUCUAAACAUUUUCUGUUUAUGAUAGAGGUCAAUUCUCUGGCUUGGGUUCUUACCUCUGCGACAAGCCUUUGUUAAAAGAAAAGUUUGUUAAUAUGUUCAAGUUCUUUAAGGAUUUGUCAUGAUCACCAUCGCUUUACUAUACUUACUAUAUUUCUCUUUGCAAGCUACUAAAAAAGAUGCCGGGCUUCAAAUCUAUAGCGUCGGAAUAAGAGCUAGUUGACUUUACAAAACUACUCAGUCAAGUGAGGAUUCUUGAGGCAUGCAUCAAAAUUGCUGGAAAGCUGAAUUCCCGUUUCAGUUAAGAUUAAUAGGUAUAUGUUUCUGUUAACCUUGCUUUAUGCUUGACCAUUAUUCGAUGAGUGCUCAAGGCCAAUAUAGAGGGUGGCUUUCUGUAUAUAGAUAUAGUCUAUGAGCAAGUUCACAUUAGUUCCUUGUAUAAGUCUUGCCAUAACAGAUUUUUCUUUCUCUUAGGGUCUUAGAGUAUCACAGUUUAACGGAGAUAAAAGUGGUAGUUGGUUGCUACCCUUGGUCGAGUACAGCAGAAGACUAUUACCAAUUUCAUUACUCCAUGGAGAAGCAAUAGGAAAAAGGACCUUUUUCAGUAUGUUACAGGCAUCAUGACUUUUCAGUGAUAUAGAACUGAUCCAUUCGAUUGUAUGUUUGGGACACAAGCAUACCUUGAUAGCAGAGAUCCUUUUGAUCGGUAAUCUUUCAUUAGAUGGUAAUCACCAAAGCUGCCUCUUGCGAAAUGUAUGGUGCCCCAGAGAAGGUUAUAUCUCCUUUUUCUCUUUUUUUUGUCGAAGUAGCUGACAUAUAUUGAUAUAGUUUCAGUUUCCGCAAUCGAAUAAUUGCUUCUGGCGGAUUGAGGAGCAUGUUGAUGUUUUGCNNNNNNNNNNNNNNNNNNNNNNNNNAAGCGCUUAAAAACAUCAAACAUGCCUCCCUCAAUCGCCAAAGCAGCAUUAUUCAGAUGCGGAAACUGACCCUAUAUCAAUAUAUGUCAGCUACUUCGAAAAUAAAGAGAGGAAAAGGAAGAUUACCUUCUCGCACCAUAUUUUUCCAGAGAGUUGCAGCUUUUGGUGAUUACAUCUAAUGAAUGAUUACAUAAAGGAUCUCUGCUAUCAAGCGGCUUGUUGGCCCAACAUCAAUCGAAGGAUUUUCUUUCAAUCACUGAUUAAAGUCAUGAUCUGUAACAUCUGAAAAAGGGUCCUUUUUCCUAUUGGCUUCUCCUGAAGUAAUGAAAUUGGUAAUAGUCUUCUGUGUACGACCAGGGGUAGCACCACUACCACUUUUAUCUCCGUUUAAACUGGUGAUACUCUAAGACCAAGAGGAAAGAAAAAUCUGUAUGCACUGACUAUACAAGGAACUUAAUGUGAACUUGCCUCAUAGACUAUAGCUAUAAGCAGAAGCACCUCUUAUAUUGGCCUUGAGCACCAUCUGAAUAAUUGGUCAACAAUAAAGCAAGUUAACAGAAACAUAUACCUAUUAAUCUUACUGAAACGGGAAGUUCAGCUUUCAGCAAUUUUGAUGCAUGCUUCAGAAUAUCCUCACUUGACUUGAUGUAGUUUUGUAAAGUCACAGCUCUAUUCCGAACCUAUAGAUUGAGCAUUUUUUUAGUAUUGCAAGGAAAUAUAGUAAGAUAGUAAAAUUGCAUGGUGAUCAUGAAAUCCUUAAAGGAACUUGAACAAUAUUAACAACUUUUCUUUUAACAAAGCUUUGUCCAGAGGUAAGAGAACCAAGCCAGAGAAUUGACCUCUAUCAUAACAGAAAAUUGUUUAGAAAGAAACAGAGUCAAGAAAUCACAAGUACCUCAAAGAAGUAGUUUUCAGUUUAGAGAUCAACGUUCGCCCAUGAGGCCCUCUUUCUGCAUGUCUGUGACAGCAUUCAGCAAGCUCCACUGCAAACAUCUAAGCUUGCAUGACUCAUCUUUUUUAUGAUUCAAUAUAAACUAAACACUUAUCUAAUUCAAAAAACUCAGCAUUCAUACUGUUCAUUAGCAUGUGUAACAAAACUGAUACCGUAAUACUGAAGGAACUCUCAUUGACAAAUGGAGUUUAACUUAAGAGAUCUUCCACAAAUUCAAACUGAUUCAACUACAAUUAUGAUGAACAACAUUUAAAAGUUUGAAAUCAAAAUUCCCUUGAAAAAUGAACAAUAAUUGACAAGACAGUUAUACCAGUUUUUUUCUGCACAGCACUUCGUCCUCAGUGAGGAAAAUGUCCUUUCAUGUGAUACUUCCGAAAACUUGCUUGGGGAGAAUCAGUCUUUCCAAGCCCUAAACCCACAGAGUAAAAAAAUCUGCAACAAUUAUGAUAAAAAAUCACAUGUUAGUAGGAUUUACAAGAAUUAAUUUAGAGAUGAAACAUGUAUGAUUAGAAAUAAAGAUUAUCGUUAACCCCAGAUGAAGCUAAAAUUAGAAUUCCCAACAAUGGUUGUAGAAAGCUGAACUAGAAAGUGAACAGAACAUAGAGAAUUAAUAAAACAAUCGUUUCUGUAAUUACUUUAUAAAUAAUUAAGAACUGAAUUGUUUUUUUUUACUGGAUUGUUCUUCAGAGGUGCUGUAUGCAUAUACUAACUGCUUACGUCAAUGACACAUCUCACACGAGCAUUUCUAAAAGAUAUUAAAUUAUAUAUGAAGAUGAAUUCAAAAAGUAACCAGACAAUUCCUCUUUUUAUAUUCUCAUGCAUACGAUAUGGUCAUCUAUUUCUUCCUCUGUUGGAGGGGCAUCAGAUAUGUCUCAAUCUUAUGAAUAUCAAAAAUCAAAAUCUGAGAACCUAAGCAGCUACUAAUUUUUAACCUAAACGAAAUAUCAGAAUGGCAACACAACAGUAAGAGACGCUAUUGGUGUUCAAUUGUGGGCUCCCACCAAUGCCAUGUGCCCUACAAGGUCCAACACUCGGUG
Molecule: long non-coding RNA, 5080 nt
Filed under: Lathyrus oleraceus (garden pea)
Lineage: Eukaryota; Viridiplantae; Streptophyta; Magnoliopsida; Fabales; Fabaceae
Description: Pisum sativum (pea) long non-coding RNA (PSAT_LNC000756)
Source: RNAcentral